UCAACCUGAGAGUUUGAUCCUGGCUCAGAGCGAACGCUGGCGGCAGGCCUAACACAUGCAAGUCGAACGGACUCUUCGGAGUUAGUGGCGGACGGGUGAGUAACACGUGGGAACGUGCCUUUAGGUUCGGAAUAAGCCCGGGAAACUGGGUCUAAUACCGAAUGUGCCCUUCGGGGGAAAGAUUUAUCGCCUUUAGAGCGGCCCGCGUCUGAUUAGCUAGUUGGUAGUGUAAUGGACUACCAAGGCUACGAUCAGUAGCUGGUCUGAGAGGAUGACCAGCCACAUUGGGACUGAGACACGGCCCAAACUCCUACGGGAGGCAGCAGUGGGGAAUCUUGCGCAAUGGGCGAAAGCCUGACGCAGCCAUGCCGCGUGAAUGAUGAAGGUCUUAGGAUUGUAAAAUUCUUUCACCGGGGACGAUAAUGAC
Molecule: ribosomal RNA, 427 nt
Filed under: Brevundimonas sp.
Lineage: Bacteria; Pseudomonadati; Pseudomonadota; Alphaproteobacteria; Caulobacterales; Caulobacteraceae
Description: bacterial SSU rRNA
Rfam family: Bacterial small subunit ribosomal RNA
Source: RNAcentral